RNAcentral lists this ribosomal RNA (253 nucleotides) under uncultured Pseudomonas sp. RNAcentral describes it as "partial 16S ribosomal RNA". It matches the Rfam family "Bacterial small subunit ribosomal RNA", at positions 99 to 356 of the family's 1533-position model. The record is from RNAcentral. Lineage: Bacteria; Pseudomonadati; Pseudomonadota; Gammaproteobacteria; Pseudomonadales; Pseudomonadaceae.
CGGACGGGUGAGUAAUGCCUAGGAAUCUGCCUGGUAGUGGGGGACAACGCUUCGAAAGGAACGCUAAUACCGCAUACGUCCUACGGGAGAAAGCAGGGACCUUCGGGCCUUGCGCUAUCAGAUGAGCCUAGGUCGGAUUAGCUAGUUGGUGAGGUAAUGGCUCACCAAGGCGACGAUCCGUAACUGGUCUGAGAGGAUGAUCAGUCACACUGGAACUGAGACACGGUCCAGACUCCUACGGGAGGCAGCAGCG